GAGGAAAGCGGGAGGCGUGCCUAAUACAUGCAAGUCGAGCGAACAGACGAGGAGCUUGCUCCUCUGACGUUAGCGGCGGACGGGUGAGUAACACGUGGAUAACCUACCUAUAAGACUGGGAUAACUUCGGGAAACCGGAGCUAAUACCGGAUAAUAUAUUGAACCGCAUGGUUCAAUAGUGAAAGACGGUUUUGCUGUCACUUAUAGAUGGAUCCGCGCCGCAUUAGCUAGUUGGUAAGGUAACGGCUUACCAAGGCAACGAUGCGUAGCCGACCUGAGAGGGUGAUCGGCCACACUGGAACUGAGACACGGUCCAGACUCCUACGGGAGGCAGCAGUAGGGAAUCUUCCGCAAUGGGCGAAAGCCUGACGGAGCAACGCCGCGUGAGUGAUGAAGGUCUUCGGAUCGUAAAACUCUGUUAUUAGGGAAGAACAAAUGUGUAAGUAACUAUGCACGUCUUGACGGUACCUAAUCAGAAAGCCACGGCUAACUACGUG
RNAcentral lists this ribosomal RNA (497 nucleotides) under uncultured bacterium. RNAcentral's name for it is "partial 16S ribosomal RNA". It matches the Rfam family "Bacterial small subunit ribosomal RNA", at positions 28 to 507 of the family's 1533-position model. The record is from RNAcentral.